AUUGAACGCUGGCGGCAUGCCUUACACAUGCAAGUCGAACGGCAGCAUGAUCUAGCUUGCUAGAUUGAUGGCGAGUGGCGAACGGGUGAGUAAUACAUCGGAACGUGCCCUGUAGUGGGGGAUAACUAGUCGAAAGAUUAGCUAAUACCGCAUACGACCUGAGGGUGAAAGUGGGGGACCGCAAGGCCUCAUGCUAUAGGAGCGGCCGAUGUCUGAUUAGCUAGUUGGUGGGGUAAAGGCCCACCAAGGCGACGAUCAGUAGCUGGUCUGAGAGGACGAUCAGCCACAAUGGGACUGAGAACCGGCCCAGACCCCUACGGGGGGCAGGAGGGGGGAAUUUUGGACAAUGGGGGCAACCCUGAACCAGGAAUGCCGCGUGUGUGAAGAAGGCCUGCGGGUUGUAAAGCCCUUUUGUCCGGAAAAAAAUCGAACUUACUAAUAUUAGGGUGGGAUGGCGGUAACGGAAGAAUAAGGACCGGCUAACUAC
This 487-nucleotide ribosomal RNA is filed under the name uncultured bacterium. Its description in RNAcentral is "partial 16S ribosomal RNA". It matches the Rfam family "Bacterial small subunit ribosomal RNA", at positions 30 to 504 of the family's 1533-position model. The record is from RNAcentral.